RNAcentral lists this transfer RNA (73 nucleotides) under Ailuropoda melanoleuca (giant panda). It matches the Rfam family "tRNA". Rfam says of the family: Transfer RNA (tRNA) molecules are approximately 80 nucleotides in length. Their secondary structure includes four short double-helical elements and three loops (D, anti-codon, and T loops). Lineage: Eukaryota; Metazoa; Chordata; Mammalia; Carnivora; Ursidae. The record is from Rfam by way of RNAcentral.
ACCUGGCUGGCUCGGUUGGUAGAGCUUGUGACUCUUGAUCUUGGGGUUGUGAGUUUGAGCCCCAUGUUGGGUA